Molecule: ribosomal RNA, 253 nt
Filed under: uncultured bacterium
Lineage: Bacteria
Description: partial 16S ribosomal RNA
Rfam family: Bacterial small subunit ribosomal RNA
Source: RNAcentral
UACGGAGGGGACUAGCGUUGUUCGGAAUUACUGGGCGUAAAGCGCACGUAGGCGGAUUUGUAAGUCAGGGGUGAAAUCCCGGGGCUCAACCUCGGAACUGCCUUUGAUACUGCAAAUCUCGAGUCCGGAAGAGGUGAGUGGAACUCCGAGUGUAGAGGUGAAAUUCGUAGAUAUUCGGAAGAACACCAGUGGCGAAGGCGGCUCACUGGUCCGGUACUGACGCUGAGGUGCGAAAGCGUGGGGAGCAAACAGG